Molecule: ribosomal RNA, 560 nt
Filed under: Klebsiella sp. Ni3
Lineage: Bacteria; Pseudomonadati; Pseudomonadota; Gammaproteobacteria; Enterobacterales; Enterobacteriaceae
Description: bacterial SSU rRNA
Rfam family: Bacterial small subunit ribosomal RNA
Source: RNAcentral
CGCUGGCCGCAGGCCUAACACAUGCAAGUCGAGCGGUAGCACAGAGAGCUUGCUCUCGGGUGACGAGCGGCGGACGGGUGAGUAAUGUCUGGGAAACUGCCUGAUGGAGGGGGAUAACUACUGGAAACGGUAGCUAAUACCGCAUAACGUCGCAAGACCAAAGUGGGGGACCUUCGGGCCUCAUGCCAUCAGAUGUGCCCAGAUGGGAUUAGCUAGUAGGUGGGGUAAUGGCUCACCUAGGCGACGAUCCCUAGCUGGUCUGAGAGGAUGACCAGCCACACUGGAACUGAGACACGGUCCAGACUCCUACGGGAGGCAGCAGUGGGGAAUAUUGCACAAUGGGCGCAAGCCUGAUGCAGCCAUGCCGCGUGUAUGAAAAAGGCCUUCGGGUUGUAAAGUACUUUCAGCGAGGAGGAAGGCAUUAAGGUUAAUAACCUUAGUGAUUGACGUUACUCGCAGAAGAAGCACCGGCUAACUCCGUGCCAGCAGCCGCGGUAAUACGGAGGGUGCAAGCGUUAAUCGGAAUUACUGGGCGUAAAGCGCACGCAGGCGGUCUGUUA